AGGGAUAGUGAUAAGGGGUUGGGGGGGGGGGAAUCCUGUUUUGUGAUUUUUUUUUUUUUAAACGAGGAUCCGUGCCUCCCUUGCUGUUGUCAGAGCAAAACACUUCUGCUGCCUAAAGUCAGAUCUACGUCUUUUGCAAUAACACUUAAAAAAAAAAAAAAAGGAUAAAUAAUUGCCUUAAAGCCUCAGCCGAACUGCCAACCACACCUUCGGAUGGAAUCUGGAAGAUGCCCAUGCCCAAGACAAUGGUGAGGAUUGGGCCAAAGUCCAGAUCCAGCCUUGAUUCCUUCAUCCAAGUUACCCUGUGUUGACCCACGACUGCUGAUGGAGGCCAGAGACGUGGACCUGCCCCUCUCCUCACUGCCCUGCAUCAGAUCACCAGGAGGACCUGAGAGUGCUGUACGAACCAUCACAAGACUGUGAUUGGAAAGUGUGGGGACCAAGCACUCAGGGAGGUGGCUGAUGCAGCUGGUUCCUGGCCCUGGGCUGUGGGUCAGCUCUUGGACAUGGCACAAGCCACCAGAGGCCAGAGGAACAUUGUGGGGACAGUUUCUGUCCUGGCUACUCCUCAUCAGUGCUUCGAGCUGCACAAAGCCCUGAGAACCAAGGCAACACGAGUGCUCCACCAGGGAUUUGCUCCUCUCAUGGUCUGCACCUGAAGCACAGCACAAAGUUCCACCCUUUGCUUCUGCAGCAAGUUCUUGUUACCCAGUCCUUGCUGACAAGAGGGGAAGAGGCAGAAGUCAGCUCAGAAAAUGAACGACUGGAAGGCUGGGGUCAUGAGCUGCAUUUGGAGGAAGAAAAUUCCAUGCAGAGAUGUGACUCCUGUGUGAAUAUUGUGCCAGGGUAAGAGAAAUUUUGUUCAGUUUGGGGUUUAUACAAUAUGUAAAGUCCACAUAAAGUCUGUUGUUCAUCCCAGCCUAGUUAAACUACAUUUGACCACCACUUUUUCAACCCAGUAAAGUGUACCUGAGUACCACAGCAACACCUGCUCUAUUUAUAUAUGAAGAUUAUUUUGCCAGGUCAGCCCUUUAGGAUUUAACAUUUCAUUCAUGAAGGAUUCCAUAACACAUGCCUAGUUGUGCUCUCUCUCUACCUCCUGAUGAUUUGGGUGAUUUUCUCUAGCUAAUUUAUAUUUUAAUUCGUUGUAACACUUCUUUACUUUCUAAUUCGAACAACUGAGACUUAAAAAAAAAAAAAAAAAAGCUAAAAAAUAACUCUCAAAGUCUGAAUGGAUACUCAUAAUUUUCUCUUCAGUACUUGCAGGUUAUUUUAGAUGACAUUUUCAUGUUGACUGCUCUCUGUUAGUUCUGCUCAGACAGAAGGGAGUGGAUCAUGUGUUAUAGGUUUCUUUACAGAUGAAACCUAGACUGUCCUAAAGUCCAGUAACUCCUCAACACCAGCAACUCCCACACCCCUCUGUGCUCCUACCAUUCCUUUGAACCAAUUUAUUUGUUCAUUUGGGCUUUAAUUGCUCAGAUGCAUUCCUUCUUGCUGCAACAGCAGGGGUAUAGGAAGGGGUGUUUGAAACCACGCAGUCAUUUCCACCCUGGAUUUCAUGAGGAGUUAUUCUUGUCUCAGAGAUGACGCAUUCAAAUAUCCCUCUAUGGAUUCCAGGUGAGUUAGUCACAUUUAGAUGCUUCCAAGUAAUACACAGAAAGGUGCUGAGAAAAUGGUGAGUCUCUGCCUAGUUACAAAAUAAAAAAGAAAAAAAGUGCUCAGAAAAGUAGAUCUGAGCAAAUUACAUCAGUAGCCCUGAAAAUAUUCUAAAAAGACCUGGGGCCAAAGGGCUUUUACUUUAAAAACUGUAGGGAUGCUCAGUAUUUACUUUACUGACUGACCCAUCAGCUGCUCUCUGUCCCUAGAAACAGUUCAGGAAAUAACUGGAAGUAUCUGAAGACAUAAAAAGGAUAAUUAAGUUUCAUUGUGGAAAUAAGAGGGUAAUCUGUCCAGACAAAUCUAGGACCUAGUACUGAAAGCCACAGUAUCUGAAUAUAAAAAAUGAGUAAUUUUGAAAGAAGAUGUCUAUCAGGACUGUAAAUUCAGAGAGUAAAAAAGUAGCUUUGCUUAAUAGACCAUCUCUCUCUCCAUCUCCCUCUAACUCAUUUUCUUAUUCUCUUUCUUCCUUUUGUGUUAUUGCAAAAAAGUGUGUGCAAAAUCUGAUACUGAGAAUGCUUUAGCUUCAUUUCAAUCUUCUAUUCUCAAAGUGUUUCAUUCCACUGGGAAGAUUCCCCCUGGGAGAUAACCUCAGCCAUGACUGCACGAGGCUCGUGGGGUGACUGAUUUGCAGAGGAACAACUGUAUUUUGAGGUGGCUCUGAGGCAGCCAGCUCCCCACACUGCUGAGGCUCUUAAAGAUAUUUUUGAGCUGGCAUGAGAAAUCACCUGGGACUCAGAGCAGACCACAAGUGCUUAGGACAGUGUUUUCUCUGCACCUUUUUUUGCUGAGCAGGAUUGCAGCACUAUAAACAAAUGUGAGUUUUGCCUCAUUCUUAGGUCCUGUGAGUUAUGAAAGCCCACUCCAGAUGUAAUGAAUGUAUAGAUCAUUUUGACCAGAUCAUAAUCUAUUAGUAAAUAAUGCUCUCUGAAAAAUGUAUAGGUUAAAUAAAGAACUUCUUGCUACUAUUGCUGUACUGGUAUCAAGGAUUACUGUGGAGGCCAACAUGAUCCUGAGGCUUUGUGCUACUGACAUUUAAAUACAAUGCAGAAUGAACUGCAGUUUGGUUUGGUUAGCAAAUUCCCUUCUGGAUUAGGAUAUUCAGGAUUUACACUGCUGGAAACAGAACCCAAAACUCUACAAGGCUCCACCUGUGCCUUGGCUUCAGCUCACUCACACCCUCACUCAUAUUUAUAGAAUUUUUCCAUUAGAUUCCUAAUUUUGGUGGUGAUAUUAAUUUGCAAAUCACACGAUACUUUUCAGAAUGAGUAGAAAGCCCUGUAACACCUAUGACUUUUCUCCACUAUCCCUGGAGGAAGCCCAAGGGUACCAGUCUAAGACCUAAGGCAAAUUGUCAGCACGGUCUAUAGGCCAUGGGAAGGUUAGGUUUAAAGAAGAUGUCACUUUAGGGACAUCUGUGUGACACAUGCUGCAGUGUCCAGACAUUGGAGACUAUGUUUUUGCUCUAAAUCUAGAGAGGAAGUCACUAGGAAAAAAAGGGAAAGAAGCACGGGGGAAUAAAAGUACUUUUGAAAGAGAAGAAAUCUACAUUUCAAUGAAAAUCCUUUCAAGGCAUUUCAAAUAAGAGUCUGAGAGAAAUAAUUACAAAGUUUGGAGAGAAAGAACGUUAGCUUUGAUAUCUUUUUCUUCUAUGAAGCAAUUAAAAUAAGCAAUUUUUCAAAUACUAAGCAGAAAAUUACUAAUGGCUGAACCCAAAAGCUUUCAUUUCCUUCUUGGGGCCUUUAUUCUUCUAAAAAAAGACAAAAAAAUGUGAAGGUGGUUUUCCAGAUAGAUUAAUGCAUAAAGCAGUCGCUAGUUGGAUGUCAUAAAAACUACAGCAGCAUAGAAUAGCUGAGAUUAAGAGCUAGAUUUAAAUCAUGCAACAGUCCAGUUAAUAUCAAUGUCUAAUUAAGAAAUGCAUAAGAAGUCUGUAAUGUUGAUUUGAUGGAGAAAAACUCUAAUAGGGUUUCUUUUGGAAUUUUCCAUUUCAAUUGCUGUGUAGACUUUUAAUGGAUGUCCUAUCCAGUCUUUGGUAUUAGCAGGAAUGAUCUUCAAAUUAAAACCAAGGCCUAAAAUGGAACACAGGUAGACAAAUUAGCUGGUCUGGGAAGCAGCCUGGGUAGAAUGACAAUGUGAGCUGAAGCCGAAAUUUUAGCACAAAUAAAAGAGAACAAACGUCUCAAAUCUGGGGUGGAAACCCUCUCUGCUUCUCGUUUGAAACAAUCCAAAACCCUGUAAUUUGAAACAAAGCAAAGUUAACCCAUUUCCCCACCUCCCUAAGCCUGCAGAAAUCCCUGACAAUUCGUACUUAGACACCUAGGCCACUAAGCACUAUUAAUUAGUCUUUUUUAUUUAAAAGACUUUCCAUAGUUAUGCAUAUUAGUCGUGUGUAGAGGUGGGUUCUUCUCUGCUUGUGAUGGGAUUUGGAGCACACAGGUCCCUGUCACCCUCAACGAGCACCAUUAAUCUUCCCCUCCUCUCUGGGUAACUAAAUCUCUUAAACCCCUGGAGCAAAACUAAGCCUGUGGUGUCUUCUGUGUCCCAUGGAUCAUCCAAGACGUUUGGUCUCUAGAUAUGAAAGGGGAAGUGGUUUUGAGCACAUCACUAAUGCCCUGAAGUUGCUAAAAGGAGAGCAGUGUAGCUGUGAGUAUGCACAAAUCCACUUAGCAAAGAAGGGGAGAGCACACUGCUGGGUUAAAGCAGCAGUGUGUUUGUUAUCACCACCCUGUUGUUGAUCCAACAGAUCCAGAGGGAAUGAUCUCAAGGAUCCAGGAAGGUGGCACACUCAGAGUAACCCCUCUGACCAAUGCACGUGGGGGAGUAAUUUGAAAGUUCAUUAAAAUAUAAUACAUUAAAAUAUAAUACAUAGGCCAUGGCAAAGCAAGGCAUGUGAUUCCAUCUGUUCACAUGUCUUUUUCCAGUACUAAAUCCAUCCAGAGACCUUUCAGAAUUAAGUCUUGUCUCUUCCACAGAGAGUGGAAAAGAUUGAAGGUGAAAAUCAGAGUAACCCUAAAAUUCUGCCACUUUUGUUUUCAUUGCCUGAAAUUUGCCUCAUGGUCCAAAUUCAUGCCUGACAUUGCUCCAUUGAUCCAUGAGGCACAAAUAGGUCAUAUUAAAGAGUGAUACCAUCGCCCUGGGGGGUGCCCCAAGGAUUUUUCUCCUUGAAAGAGAUGGAAACAGAGAUGUUCUCAGUGAGGCAUCUGCCUUCUCAACGGUACAGGAGCUCUAAUGUGGGGAUACUCAGGCCAUCAGAGGAGCCUGGGUUUUUUUACCCUGCUCUUCACUGUAAGACUGGGAGGUGCCAUGGGUUUGGAUGAUGCUAGAGGAUUGCUCAGGUGGAGUUCUAACAGGGUGCUUUGCCUGCAGCCUUUAUUAGAUUUAUGCAAUUCUUAGGAAAAAAACAAGGAAAUGAAGUAGGCUGUCUUUUGCAAACACAUGCAACAGAAAAAAACCCAAACCCUAACUUGUCCAACAACUUGAGAGCCACAAAUUCUGUUACAGUUUUGCUAAAUGAGAGCAAUAUUUCUCUUUUCCUCUACAAAACUGUCCUUUUAGACAUUACUGCAGUCAUGACCUCACCUGUGUUCCUGGAUUCCUUCUGGAAAGAUUAAAAUGAACUAAUACACAAAUGAUCUCAUCACAGCAUAAAGGACAUCUUACACAGGGGGAAAAAACUAAUCAGGAGAACUUCAGUGCUGCAUUUGCAGUAGCAGUAGAAAAAGAACUGUAACACCACUGUGAAAAAGCAAACUAAAGGUACAAUGCCAGAGAGGCAUUUUUCCAUCUUAUAAACCAUUUGGAUUUGUCCCACCUGAUCCUGCUUGUCACACUGGUCAUCCUCUUACCUGUCUCCACAUCUAUCAUCUUUCCUUUUUUCCUGCCUUUAUUUACAAUUUCCCUUGUCUCUUCUGUGCCCUUCCUACCUUUUUAAUAUUUCUGGUAACUUUGAAUUGUAUGCAUUACUAUUCUCAGCUACAUCCAAAGUGCAUUUUGUAGAGUACUUACAUACCUUACACAAAAGUAUUCACACAUACUUCAUCUGCAGUUUAUGUUGUUCUGGGUUAAGAACACCUUUUCUAUAUUUUCAUACAGCUCUCAGGCCAAGGGGUCAUGGAUGAUGACAGCUCUCAUCUGCUUUGGAGCUGUUGUAUGUUCUAAGAGAAAUCAGGAAGAUGAGUUGGGGGAGAUGCUUUACCUUCUCUGGUAGGAGAAUCUAUAAAUUAACAUUUAUGUAAACGAGGCUCUCCCCACAUUUUUAAUGUUGUGUCACGUUUUGAGGCUGGAAAAUGGAAUAUCUGGGAAACCAGCUUAUACUCAAGGUCUUUUUCAACACAAGCUUUACUAUGAUCUUCAGAACAUGAUAUGAAGAACGAUGAUGAAUCAAACAGAAGAUAAAUGCAGUGCUAAUAAUGCAAUCCUAUCUCUCGUGCCCAUAGGUGCUCCUCAGCUGUGCCUUGAGGUGACACCAUUAAGCAAGAGGUGCCAAACCGGUUCCCUCCCAAGCUGAAUGUCAUGCAACUGCCCAGGGGCCCUCUUUGCAGGGGUUGCACCCUGACUUUUCAAGCUGCUGUGGCCCCUUCCCACCCUGGCAGGAGGAGCUGAAACUGCUCUUUUACAUCUGUGACAUUUCUCAGGCAGCAGGGAGGGCAGAAGGCAUCAGGCUGUAGGGAGGGAUCAGAGCAGGCACCUUUAGACACUGGCAAAGAGACCUCCAGGGCUCAUCCAGAGGAAAUGAGCUCCCAUGGUGGUACAAAGGAUGGUGGUGCCUUUCUAUCCAUCCAACAAGAUUUGCUGCUCCUAAAUGGGGGAGCAAAUAUAUCCAACCCCAAAUGGUCUGCAGUAAAUAGAUCUGCUUCAGAGCCCUGAGCAGCGAUGAGUGUUGUAGGAUAUUUGCUGCAGCAUUAGGAAAGUCCAAAAAGCCCAAGGAGCAGUGCAGAGCAUCUGUCACCAGCAAGAAAAUACCAUGUGAAUAGCUGUUGUAAUUCCUGUCCCCAGCGGCCUAAAGGGAGGCACAGACUUCCCAAGGCAGAGAGGACCUGGAGAAUUUGGGAUCUUCAGUGAGAUCUCUCCAGAUAUCCUGCAGAUUUACCAGGUCAGCUCAGUCCAGGCCAAAGUUGCUGGGAAAGGUCCUCGGCUCUACUCCAAGUUCAGUGCCCUAUUGAUUGGAAGAGGUAUUUAUUGUAGAUCAGGAUCUUGAGCCAAGACAGCUGAAGCUGCAAGGACUAAAUUGUCUAUUCCUCACCUACAGAAAAAACAAAUGGCCAGUUUUAGCCUAAUCAUCACUUCUGCCUGAGAAAGGAGCAACUCUUUGAGGUGUGAAAUGCCAACUGAUCCACGCUUCUCCUGCUGUCAGCAGGGAGCAAUGUGUGUCAGAGGCCUCAUUCUCAGAGGGGAGGUCACCCAGAUCUCCAUUUGCACAUCUGCUUUGCACAACGCAAAACUCUGGAGGUCUGAAAAGCUCCAGUGUGCACAAAAUGGGAUGUGAUCACUGGGGGCCAUGCAGAAGGAAGUGCUUUUCCCUCUCAUUUAUUAGGCAGGGCAUAGAAUUUUUCCCUCUGUGCAAAAUUCUUCCUGCAUUGCAACAGGUGAUGUUUUACUUGUAAGUUCUAUGUUAAUAAGGAAAAAAGCUACACUUUGAAUUCCACGAGAAGACAGGAUACCAAGAGGUUAAAAAAAGAACCUCACACACUAGGCAGCUUCAGAAAGAUGUUAAUAUUCAGCAUGUCCCUGCUUGGAGAGUGCAGACACGAAGAUCAGGAAAGUGCCUGAUCAGAGCUCCUGGAGGGGCCGUGCUGCUGGAGCCUGCCUUACACAGGGGCAUCCUGGUUUGGUUCUGAAGGCUUCCAGAGGAGCUUUCAAAUGUUUCUAUUUCCUGCUGUUAGUGGGUUUUUUUCAUACCUUGGAGUAAGUCUUCCGAUGGUAAUGUGUUUGCAGUUGAUGCCUAGAUAAUGGUUCUUGCUCAGGGGAUCUCUAAUACACAGUAUUUUGUGCUUUUUACAUUUUAUACGAGAUCAAAGACUCAUCCUAUAUGUACAUAUAUGCCUAAUUCUUUCUUGAUUCCAGCUAGAAUCUAGAAUAUCCCUCAGUAUCUGCCAUAAGAAUGCCCACAACUAAGCUAUACUGAAUAUUUUUUGGUCUUAAUACAUUUGGCCUUUUAAUGUCAUAUGUUUACUACAUCAUGAUUCUGGUUAUUCUGCACUUAUAGGACAUUUUAAAUACAUGCCUUUCCCCUGAAAUUUACACCAGAAAUUCAGAAAUUUCAUCUUUGAUCAGAACAACUUCAUUACCUUCCUGAGCAAUAGGAAUGACAUUGAUUUCCCUGGGCUGUACAUUGUGGACAUGCUAUUGUACAUGUGUACAUCUGGCUGUACAUGUGAACCCAUGAAAAGAAAUGGGGAAAGGGAUACUGAUUUUCUUGGAAUGAAAUACAGAAAAUUUGGGCUUGGAAAACAUUUGUGUAUAAUAUGCUGAAAGUUUAAAGAAACAUUUUUAAAGAAACAUUUUCCAAGAGCAUGCCUGUUAGUUUUAUCUUCAUUUUUGCCAUGUAUAAUUAUGAGAAACACAGACAACUCAUAAGAGUUUUUAGUUUCUGUUGAGAAUUGCCUUUUCCAAGACAAUUCUGUACACUAUUACUUCAGCCCACUGGGUAUCAUGUAGGGAAGGUGUAAGAUUAUGCACACGGAUAUUUCUGUCUACCACUUAUGCGUGCUGAGACAAUAUCAACUUAUACUUUCUCCUGUCAUUGGUCCUUAUUCCAUGGAGGAUAUUCUUAAUUACCAGCAAGACAAUUUGGUAAUAUCAUGUAAAGUGUAACAGCAUAAUUUCUGUGAUGAUUUACACCUGCUAAGGAUCUGAAUACUGAAUUUUGAAACAUGUUUUAAGUUCAGAAGAAAGAGUAUUUUUUCUACGAGACACUAUUUCUAUUUUUAAUAGAAAUACUCUCUAUUACUUAUUUAUUGGCACAGCUCUUCUAAAUGAAAUGGAGCUUUUGAACAAAAAUACACCAUUUUUACACAUUCUCACUGCCCUGAAAAAUUUAGAGCACACUUCUGUACUGGAUUAAAUCAACUUGAGUCUAAAUGCCUAAACACUAUUUUUGACAACUGUGCAUGAGGGACGUGCCUGCACAGGGAUUCUAAAGAAUAAAAACCCUAAAAAUAUCUCAGUUGCAAAGAAAAUUCCCUGUAUUCCUUCUUACACUGCGUAAUAGUGGUUAUAUAUAUAUCUCCUUUAACCCUCACAGGUUUAUCCCCAGUUCUGUUGGAAAUGAUUGAAAUUAUUCCAUUGACUUUAACAAACUCUGUUUCCUACUGGAUUAAAGGUGAUAUUUGUGCGUCGGAUUUGCUGGUGAUGUCCUGCUAAUGAAACAGGUAAUUUUAUAAACAUGUCAGGGAGGGUAAGUGCCCAAUAAAAAGAUGUCAGAUAGAGAUCCACAAAUUAGAGUCUAUUUGUAAUGGAAAUAAAACCAGGAAUUCUUACUAUGAGUCAUGAAUUUCUUUAUAAUUGCUUCCACAUUUGGGGCAACAUUUUCCUGGGUUGUCUACAGAAACCCUGCAUUUCUUGGGGCUUUUGAGUUAUGAUCACAACAACACAUCCCAUUUCUGAUAAAAAUUACUUACUUUGGGAAGGAUUUUUUUUUCUCAAAUUGCUUUUCUGAGUCUUUAUCUACAACUAUUUUGUUAUCCUCCUCCUCAUUUUCUGUUUCUAAUAUAAAAACAGGAGUCAUCAAUUUAGAAGAGCAAUAAAACUAAAGAAAAUUCAGGCAGAACUGUAAAGCACAGUCUAUUUUAAAGUUCCAGCUCAGAUAAUAAGACUCUGGUUUGUGCAGCACCUCACUCAUGGACUCAGUUUUCCAUAGUGCAUUCAGUGUUGUAAUAAUGCAAAUCAAAUACAAUUUUAAUAACUCCUUCCAUUAAUGUUUUAAGACUGCAACACUUAUGAGCAUGAUUCUAAUUGCAUGAUUUUGCUACAGGCAAGUUUUAUAGAUCUGCCUGAUCUUUGGAUAUUUGCACCGUUUGGAUUAUUUUAAAUAAUUAAUUUUUGGAAGCAUUUCAGUCUCAGUAACAACAGUUGGGUUUGAUAGUGGUUGUCUUGGAGUAAUUGCAUGUAUCUGCUUCCAUGCCAGGAUAAACUAGAUAAAUUUAGAAUUCUUUGGAAGGAGGUGGCUGAGGUUUAUGCCAUGGCAAAUGUUAUGGACAACGUUCUUAGGAGGGGAAUAAUUAUAGACUGCGUUAAUACAAAGAGAAAAAGAGGUUUAAAGUUAAUAAAAUUUUGUCAUGCAGCACAAUUAGUUAAUUAAAUUGCAGGACUUUCUGCCAAAAGAAUACCAAAAAUACAAUCAACUUAGAAUACCAUUAAAGAUUCUUGUUUUAUGCAACUUCUAUUGCCAGUGUCUAAUGCACUGAGUGAUAGCAACAAGGAAAAUACGUCAUGAGAAGAAUUAGUUUGAUUUCUGACAUUUUUCUCUAUAUCUGCUGGUAGUUUCUGCCACAGGGGCCAUAGAAUCAUGGAAUCGUUAAGGUUGGAAAAGACCUCUAAGACCAUCAUUCAACCAUUAACCCAACACAGCCACGUGCACCUCUAAACCCUGUUCCUUAGCACCAUAUCCACACGUAUUUCUGAACACCUCCAGGUAGAGUGACUGCACUUCUUCUCUGGGCAGCCUGUUCCAAUGCUUGACCACCCCCUCAGUGAUGAAUUUUUCCCUAAUAUCCAACACAAACCUGCCCUGGUGCAACUUGAGUCUUUUUCUUCCCAUGCUGUUGCUUGUUACCUGCAGGGAGAGACCGGCCCAUACCUGGUUAGAACCUCCUGUCAGGGAGCUGUAGAGAGUGACAAGGUCCUCCCUGAGCCCCCUUUUCUCCAGGCUGAAC
Long non-coding RNA from Prinia subflava (tawny-flanked prinia), 10529 nucleotides. RefSeq lists it as uncharacterized. The transcript has 6 exons. The record is from RefSeq and is a predicted model, not a curated record. NCBI's taxonomy places the organism in Eukaryota, Metazoa, Chordata, Aves, Passeriformes, Cisticolidae.